CAUGCACGACACCACGUGAGGGAUGACGGCCUUCGGGUUUUAAACCUCUUUCAGCAGGGACGAAGCGAAAGUGACGGUACCUGCAGAACAAGCACCGGCCAACUACGUGCCAGCAGCCGCGGUAAUACGUACGGUGCAAGCGUUGUCCGGAAUUACUGGGCGUAAAGAGUUCGUAUGCGGUUUGUCGCGUCAUUUGUGAAAACUCACAGCUCAACUCUGAGCUUGCAGGCGAUACGGGCAGACUUGAGUACGGCAGGGGAGACUGGAAUUCCUGGUGUAGCGGUGAAAUGCGCAGAUAUCACGAGGAACACCGGUGGCGAAGGCGGGUCUCUGGGCCGUAACUGACGCUGAGGAACGAAAGCGUGGGUAGCGAACAAGAU
Molecule: ribosomal RNA, 380 nt
Filed under: uncultured Rhodococcus sp.
Lineage: Bacteria; Bacillati; Actinomycetota; Actinomycetes; Mycobacteriales; Nocardiaceae
Description: bacterial SSU rRNA
Rfam family: Bacterial small subunit ribosomal RNA
Source: RNAcentral